GACGAACGCUGGCGGCGUGCUUAACACAUGCAAGUCGAACGGAAAGGCCCUGCUUUUGUGGGGUGCUCGAGUGGCGAACGGGUGAGUAACACGUGAGUAACCUGCCCUUGACUUUGGGAUAACUUCAGGAAACUGGGGCUAAUACCGGAUAGGAGCUCCUGCUGCAUGGUGGGGGUUGGAAAGUUUCGGCGGUUGGGGAUGGACUCGCGGCUUAUCAGCUUGUUGGUGGGGUAGUGGCUUACCAAGGCUUUGACGGGUAGCCGGCCUGAGAGGGUGACCGGCCACAUUGGGACUGAGAUACGGCCCAGACUCCUACGGGAGGCAGCAGUGGAGAAUAUUGCACAGUGGGCGGAAGCCUGAUGCAGCAACGCCGCGUGCGGGAUGACGGCCUUCGGGUUGUAAACCGCUUUCGCCGGUGAUGAAGCGUGAGUGACGGUAAUGGGUAAAGAAGCACCGGCUAACUACGUG
This 468-nucleotide ribosomal RNA is filed under the name uncultured bacterium. Its description in RNAcentral is "partial 16S ribosomal RNA". It matches the Rfam family "Bacterial small subunit ribosomal RNA", at positions 28 to 507 of the family's 1533-position model. The record is from RNAcentral.